Molecule: small nucleolar RNA, 146 nt
Organism: Artibeus jamaicensis (Jamaican fruit-eating bat)
Lineage: Eukaryota; Metazoa; Chordata; Mammalia; Chiroptera; Phyllostomidae
Product: small nucleolar RNA SNORA57
Exons: 1
Source: RefSeq, a predicted model, not a curated record
CCUCCUCUUCUUGGCAGGGAUCGGGCAUGCAGUUCUGGUCCCCAGCGUAUGGAUGCAGAGGGAAAGGGCUCUGGCCCCCUCGGUGUCAGGUCUUCCGUGCGGACAGUUUCCAGUCAGCGGUUCUAUUUUCAGGUGCUGGGACACUG